CGAGUAGUACUAGUUUCUAUAUACCGAUACAAAAACACCUUUUUCUUUCUUCACUAGCAACUAUUUAACACUACAUCUUACAGUUAAGUAGUUACUGAAAAUGGCUUCAAAGUCUGGAUUAGAAGAGCUAAACUUUGUUUUGAUACCUUUACUUGCUGCAAGUCACAUUAUACCCAUGCUGGACAUGGCCAAAUUGUUAGCACAGAGAGGCGUGACAGUCACUUUAGUCAUGACACCUCUUAAUGCUAUCCGAUUUACUGCAGUAAUUCAUCGUGCCAUCGGUUCUGGACUAUGUAUUCGGAUACUUGAACUCCAAUUCCCAGCCAAGGAAGCGGGGUUGCCAGAGGGAUAUGAAAGCGCGGAUGUUCUACCAGAUACAGCUUAUCGAAGAACUUUCUAUACUGCAAUUGCUAUGCUACAAGACCAAGCUGAAAAAUUACUUGCUGAGAUGAAGCCUAAGCCGAAUUGCAUUAUUUCCGAUAAGCAUAUUGCUUGGGCUGCUGAGACAGCUGAUAAGUUUCAAAUUCCAAGAAUCAUUUUUGAUGGAACGAGUUGUUUCAACCAAUUAUGUAUGCAUAAUUUGUACAUCAUGAAGGAUCAAAACAAAAUUCCUGAAUCAGGGCCUUUUGUCAUACCUGAUUUGCCUGAUAGAAUUGAAGUAACCAAAGUUCAGCUGCCUGGAGCAUUCAAUCCUUCACCAACCCUUUGCGUGCAAGAUAUUCGAGACAAAAUCCGAGCAGCUGAAACAAGAGCCUAUGGGGUUUUAAUCAAUACUUUCGAGGAGUUGGAACAAAGGUACGUUGAUAAAUUCCGAAAACUUAAAGAUUAUAGAGUUUGGUGUAUUGGACCUUUGUCCCUUUGUAUUAGUGACCGUCUAGAUAAAGUGCAGAGAGGAAAUAGCGCUUCAUUUGACAAAGAAGACUGCUUGAAGAAAUGGCUUGAUUCUUGGCAGCCUGAGUCUGUUGUGUAUGCAUGUUUUGGAAGCCUUAGCCAUACCACAGUUGAGCAAUUUGUGGAGCUGGCUUUAGGCCUAGAAGCAACAGGUUAUCCAUUCAUUUUAGUCGUAAAAUCAGGGGAAAGACAAGCACCAAUAGAGAACUGGAUAUCGGAAAAUGGAUUUGAAGAAAGAACAAAAGGAAGAGGGCUUUUGAUCCGUGGCUGGGCACCACAAGUACUAAUUCUAUCGCACCCUGCAAUUGGUGGGUUCUUGACUCAUUGUGGUUGGAAUUCGACCCUUGAGGGAAUUAGUGUUGGUCUGCCUAUGAUCACAUGGCCUUUAUUCUCAGAACAGUUCUUAAAUGAGAGAUUCUUAGUAAAUGUAUUGAAGACGGGCGUGAGUGUUGGAUCGCAGAAAGUUGUGAAUUUCGGUGAGGAAGAGAAGUAUGAGGUUCAAGUGCGUAAGGAAGAAAUAACGAAAGCAAUAAGAACAGCGAUGGGCAAGGAGAAAGAAGGAAAAGAGAGGAGAAAAAGAGCCAAAGAAGUUGGAGAAAUGGCAAAAAGAGCUAUAGAAGGAGGUGGAUCUUCUCACCUCAGUCUGACACUUCUAAUCAAUGCAGUACAAGAAUUCCAACUUAACCAAUCAGCUUAAAAUGAAUAUGCACAAGUGUGCAACAUACUACUUUGAUAGCAAAGAGUAUAAGCAUUAAUUUCUUUUCCUUUUUGCACUUUUGUCUUUGAACAUGAGCUACCCGAAUAAAACAGGAAACAACUGUGGAUUUCGGACUUUAGCCCGGACCUAGACUGUCUGCAAUUUAAAGGGCAAUCCGAUGCACAAAAGUUUCUACUAUGCACGGGUCCUGGAAAGGCAGGCCGAUAGUCUGCAAUUUAUGUCCCCCAAAAUUGGAUUUGAAUUGUAAAUUUCCUAUUUCUCAGAACAUGUUAGGUCCUUCGAUUAACUUAACUUUGCCAGUUUCAAUUUUCAGCAAUGAGUUAUAUACACUUUAAUUGAGUGAUUGACGACUGUAUUGCCACAUAAAAAGGAACUGUUGUCUCAUAAUGUGCCUCAUCAAAUGGGUAUCCCAAUUGAGUAAAUUUCACACGAGUCACUUUUCUUUUUUAUCAUGUACUAGUCAUCCAAAUUUGGGUUCGAGCCUGGGAAGUAGUCCCUAGUGCUUGCAUUAGGGUAGAUUAUCUAUUUCACACCCCCUUGGGUAUAAUCCUUCUUCAAACCCUCCUAACGCGGUAUGUAUUGUUCUCCGAACUACCCAUUUUUUAUAAAAAUCAUCCAAAAUAAAAGAAGUCAUACAAGAAUAACUUUUUUUAAUAUUUUUUGUUACAUAGUCAAAAUUAUCCUACUUGAAGUUUAUCUAACAAAAGUCACUUUUUCAGACAAUACACUGGGUUUGUUGUUGUUGUUGAUUGAAUUGUGAAUGUCAGCAUCAAUGGCAAAAUAGAUUAGCUAUCAAUUAUUAUGCACACAUGAAACAAGAGACAAUGACACAGCUGGCUGGCUUAUCACAUUAAUUGUCAAGUUGCAUAUAGUCAGAAUUUCUUGAUUACUUUAAUUGCUCAAAGUGCCGUAAUGGCCUGCUACACGUAAAGAUAUAAUUAAUUUAGUGCAUAUUAGUUUAAUGCAAAUAAGCCCUUACAUCAUAAUCUUAACAAAUGCCAACACUACAUAUAAAUAGAUAAAAGCACCUUCCUGAAUCAUCUAACACAACUACUUCCAGUUCAGUUCAUACUAAAAAUGAUUUCAGAGUCAGGAUUAGAAGAGCUAAACUUUGUAUUGAUACCUUUACUUGCUGCAAGUCACAUCAUACCCAUGGUGGACAUGGCCAAAUUGUUAGCACAGAGAGGCGUGACAGUCACUUUAG
Molecule: long non-coding RNA, 2813 nt
Filed under: Capsicum annuum
Lineage: Eukaryota; Viridiplantae; Streptophyta; Magnoliopsida; Solanales; Solanaceae
Description: long non-coding RNA (CANN_LNC009244)
Source: RNAcentral